This 424-nucleotide ribosomal RNA is filed under the name uncultured soil bacterium. RNAcentral describes it as "bacterial SSU rRNA". It matches the Rfam family "Bacterial small subunit ribosomal RNA", at positions 26 to 440 of the family's 1533-position model. The record is from RNAcentral.
AGGACGAACGCUGGCGGCGUGCCUAAUGCAUGCAAGUCGAGCGACGAAUAGGUGCGGGUAACCAAGCCUAUUACGGAGCGGCGAACGGGUGAGUAACACGUGAGCAACCUGCCCCGAAGACCGGGAUAGCCCAGGGAAACUUGGAUUAAUACCGGAUAUCCUCCUUUGAUCGCAUGGUCGUUGGAAGAAAUGCUUUUACGCUUCGGGAUGGGCUCGCGGCCUAUCAGCUUGUGGUGGGUAACGGCCUACCAAGGCGUCGACGGGUAGCUGGUCUGAGAGGACGGAUCAGCCGCACGUGGGACUGAGACACGGCCCAGACCUCCUACGGGAGGCAGCAGCAGGGAAUUUGCGCAAGUGGCGAAGCCUGACGCAGCAACGCCGCGGUGGGGAGUGAAGGCCGUUCGGUUCGUAACCCCGUUUAGGA